GACGAACGCUGGCGGCGUGCUUAACACAUGCAAGUCGAACGGAAAGGCCCUGCUUGCAGGGUACUCGAGUGGCGAACGGGUGAGUAACACGUGGGUGUUCUGCCCUGCACUUCGGGAUAAGCCUGGGAAACUGGGCCUAAUACCGGAUAGGAGCCAUUCUUAGUGUGAUGGUUGGAAAGUUUUUUCGGUGUAGGAUGGGCUCGCGGCCUAUCAGCUUGUUGGUGGGGUAAUGGCCUACCAAGGCGGCGACGGGUAGCCGGCCUGAGAGGGUGGACGGCCACAUUGGGACUGAGAUACGGCCCAGACUCCUACGGGAGGCAGCAGCGGGGAAUAUUGCACAAUGGGCGCAAGCCUGAUGCAGCGACGCCGCGUGGGGGAUGACGGCCUUCGGGUUGUAAACUCCUUUCGCUAGGGACGAAGCUUUUUGUGACGGUACCUAGAUAAGAAGCACCGGCUAACUACGUG
This 465-nucleotide ribosomal RNA is filed under the name uncultured bacterium. RNAcentral's name for it is "partial 16S ribosomal RNA". It matches the Rfam family "Bacterial small subunit ribosomal RNA", at positions 28 to 507 of the family's 1533-position model. The record is from RNAcentral.